ACAAACUUGAAUUAUGAUAGUAAGCUGAAUUUUUUCUUGUUCCUUGUUUUCUUGAAACAUUGAGAAGAAUUUCAGCAUGGGAGAUGGUCAGUCUCAUUAAAACAAUAAUCGUCAGAGAGGGAGUGAUAGGAUUCUACAAGGGCAUCAUAUCAAAUGUUGUGAAAGUGUUUCCAGCAGUCUGCAUAAAAGCUACAUCAUUUAUAAUAAAACAAAGGGAAGUCUGGGAAUAGUUGAGGUGUGAAAUGUUGAGCUGCUCUUAGCAUAAUUGCUUAUAUUCAUGACAGUUUUGGAUCUAUUUUUCUCUUAAAAUUUUAACAGCUUAUGUGAACAGAUAUUAUAUCUUUAUUCCUCAAUAGAAGAGUGUAUCAGCUAGCCUUUAUGACAUUUGAUUUUAACUUUAUAUUUGACAGAAUUGAGGUUAAAAUCCUUAAUCCCUGGAACUCUAUUUACCCUCCUUCUGACUCUCCAUUGAAGAGGAACCCAAGACUUUCAUUUGAAUGGACUGAAAAAUAUUUUAGAAAGCCAUUUGGGGAUACCCUUGGAAAUCUUACAUUUAUAGACUUCCAUUUUGUAAAAUGUGAG
RNAcentral lists this long non-coding RNA (582 nucleotides) under Monodelphis domestica (gray short-tailed opossum). Its description in RNAcentral is "lncRNA (ENSMODG00000043828.1)". The record is from RNAcentral. Lineage: Eukaryota; Metazoa; Chordata; Mammalia; Didelphimorphia; Didelphidae.